CAUUCACUUCAUUUUUUUUGUUAAAUCAAUGAUGUUAUCUUACUGUACUUUCAUCAACAUGUCGUUCUCUGCUGACUGCUAUGGAGAACAUUUUGCUACAUUUCUACUUCAUUCGAUUGUGUGUGUACAGUUAUAUAGUUUUCUUUUCUUUGAUUUCCAUGAUAAAUACUUGGAUUUGGCAAGAGAGGGAGUGUAAGUGAUGUGUUUAUUUGACAAGAAAUGAUUGGUUUAAUGGAUCAUUCUGAGCAAGUAUAGGGUGAUUGAUGAGGAUAUGGUAGGAUAUAGCCGGUGGACAAAUCUUGUGACAACUAUGUCAGUUGGUUUUAAUGUUGGCUUGUUGUCUGUCUGAACUACUUCGCAGUUGGUCAAUAACUAUGAUGAAAAUUAUUAAAUAGUUUAGAUUCAAGACCUUUUGGAUUGGAGCCCUGCUCUUCGUUUCUACAUUUGGUUUUUGCUUGUCUCCUAUUAUUUGGCUUUUCUUUAGUGUACAGGGUAUUUUCCAUCAUAAAAAAGAUAAGUUUAUAAACUAGUCCCUGAACUUUUGGUUCUUAAACUUUCUAACUAUCUAAUAGGUUCUCAAACAUUUUAUUUUGGAUCCAGCUGGUCCUUAAAAACUCAAAAUUUUAUCAAUUCUAGGUUCUCGUGACAUCAUAUGUAAUUGAGAACUAGACUAACCUCAAAAUCCACAGUAGCCUAAAAUUGAAGGACUAAGUUUGUAAUUUCACCAAAAAAAACAACAAUAAUAAUAGUAAAACGAAUGUUUGGUACUUGUAUACUUUGUUAGACAUGGAGAGGUUUCCUUCCCCUUUGAGCUGACAUAAUACUUCUGACUGUUCACUUAUGGUUUUUUUCUGGACUUCAUUUUUGAGAACUUGAAAUAAGUAGGUUUUAUUAUCAGGAAUUUAUUGCUUUUUCUAGACGUUUUGAAAUCGGGAUAUAGUGGAUACGGCUGAUGAACAAAGCUAAGAAGUGUCAAUGUGGAUUUGAAAAGUGCUAAGUUUUCCACCUUAUUCAAGCAGGGGGAUCUCCUUUCCCUAUAUGCAUACAUAUAUUGAAGCUUAUGUGGGUUUGUUUGUUGUCUUAUCACUAAGAUGGAAAUGGUAGACUGAUGUGGCACCAGCUUAAGAUUAGAUUCGGUUUUAGAUGCAACUGUGUAAGCUUCACAGCAGAUAUUAAAGAUGAGACUAAGCUGAUAUCAGAAGAUUCAGAACUUGUCUGAUGAUUCGUAUGCUUUAUUGUUGAAAGAUCAGGCUGAAGAUUGUUAGUGUUGGAUAAAGGUUUAAGCUAUCAGGUUGAAGAGAUCAGCAAUUUAUACAUACACCACAAGCCUGGUUACAGAUUUUGAAGAAUUGACUUGAUAAAUUUCAUUUGGAAAGUGGUUUGUACCAUGAUACUAACAAAUCAAGUUUCAAUGUAGCGUAGCUGCUUAACCAUAAUAAGAAUGGUCAUCAGUUUCUAUUCUUGAAGUUAAAAGGUAAUAGAUGGGUGGUUGGUUGCUUCAGCCGAUGACUGAUAUCAACAUGUUGAUACUCAUCAAGGAUUAGAAAUAAGAUAUUGGCAUAUAGGCUAAUCUGCAAGUUGAUCCUUUUAUGGAUUGAGGAAAUACCAUAUGCGCCAUAUAGGCCACAUACUCAAGAUUUCUGAUGCUCAUAUGUAAUGAUAUUUGGAAAGAAAGAACUGUGAGUUCUCUGUUAGAAUUUGAGCAGCUUUUUAUAGUGUGAAAAUUGGUUGAAUAUGGAAGCUUUGCAAUCGACCAAUGGAUCUCAUGAUGAGAGAUCUAAGUAUAUUUCUUACUUGUGGAAUAGUACUACCAUGGAUUUGAAACUCAAAUUUUUAAUAUGAGCCUUGAACUUUUAGGUGUUGAACUAGUGUUUUUAGUUCGGCCAGUAUAUUUUUUUAUUAAUGCAUGCUUUCUGUAAUAUUUUAAUGAUACGUGCAAGUCCAGGCUGAGAAACUGAUAUCUUUUGCAAGGUCUUUUUAGUCCAAACAUCAAUAUAUUUAAUAAACUAAUACCAUGUCGAGAGAUACCUCACUUGACCUGAAAAGUGAAAGUACACAUUGGGAAGCUCAAGCUAUUUUACAGAGAAGCUAACAUAUUUGGAGAAUUUGAAGUUGCACAUUGAGAAUAGUUCGACAGAGUAAUCUUUAUAUCAACAAGAAUCUAGCUAGCAAUGGAGUUGGGAGAACUUUAGGAACUUUGGCAACUUUUUAAAGAAGGUAUGAUUACAGGUUCAUAAAAGUGUGGCAGUGUCUUUGUAUUUAUAUUUCGAGGUUUGAGGGUCGAGCGUCGAAUUUGGGAGUAAAUGGAUUUAGGUGUAUGGUUGAUAGAGAUGAAGGAAUGCAAUUCUCUUGUUUCUUUUCUUCAAUUCAUGUACGAUCAGAAUGAACAUUUGAAGUUUUCAUAUUUUCAUCUUCUAGGUUAAUUUUUUUUUCUUUAUCUAGAAAUAUUUUUCUGCGAGAUAAAUGGCCUUUUUGCCUUUUUGCGUCAUAAGCUUCUACUUUGUCUAAUGUUACACGAAUGUUAUAAGUGUAUUGUAUUGAUCUUUGGAUUGUAAUGAACAAUUUGUUUAUUGAUUAAUUUUCUUUUAAA
Long non-coding RNA from Cucumis sativus (cucumber), 2590 nucleotides. RefSeq lists it as uncharacterized. The transcript is spliced from 2 exons. The record is from RefSeq and is a predicted model, not a curated record. NCBI's taxonomy places the organism in Eukaryota, Viridiplantae, Streptophyta, Magnoliopsida, Cucurbitales, Cucurbitaceae.